RNAcentral lists this ribosomal RNA (2490 nucleotides) under Triticum aestivum (bread wheat). RNAcentral's name for it is "partial small subunit ribosomal RNA". Lineage: Eukaryota; Viridiplantae; Streptophyta; Magnoliopsida; Poales; Poaceae. The record is from RNAcentral.
UACGGUCCGUUGCUGGUUUCGAAACUGUAGUUGCGGAUGGACGCAAUGUAGAAGUCGCUCCUCUUGCUCGGCCUCGUCCAGCCCCUCGUUCUCGAAGUAGCCGACCACGUCCGUGGUACCGGGUAGCUGUCGCUAUAGCUGCAGUGUCAGGAACCCUCGUGUUAGCUGUAUAACGUCUCCUACACACUACUCGUCAAACGGUAGGUGGCACGUUUUCUAGGUCUCGACGAGCCGCCGUACUAGCUGCUGGGUGGGCUUCUCGGCGGCAGUGAUCACGAGUAGCUCUCGGACUACGGGGCGUUCCUUACCCGUCUCCUGGACACACUAAGUCAGUUCUAUUUCCGUCGGAUGGCGAAGUAUUAACGGGCGCUGCCGACACAGUUGGAGCUAGGGCUACUACACCACCGGUCCGAGCUCACGUAGGAACCGCCUCAACUACAGGGGCUGCUUUCUGUACCUUUACCUCGCCAAGGCACCUCAACAGUACGCGCUCUAACGUGCGACAGUUCGAGAAGAGCUUCUCCGGGUCAUCGGGGUUCUCGGAGGGUCGCGGUCGUCGAGGCAUCCGUCUCCGCCCAGCCCUGUGAGCCUCACUUGCCGGCGUACCCACGAUACAACUAGUACCUCAGACUCUUCUGGUAGCAGCCUUCCGGCGGUCGAGUCGGAAAAUCGAAUAUAAAAUAAUAUUAAUCGCGCGCGUCCCUGCGGCCUCGCCUCGCGCGGCGCCGGCGGAGUUGCCGCUCGUUGGUGCACAGUUUAAGCUAAAGGUGAAGUGCCAGUAAAAGUGACCGGAUACUGCCCACCCGAGCAAAGCCCGCAAGUAACCGACCCAGUCGGCACGGGCGCACGUCCUCUAAAACCGGUUAGGUGAGGCGCAUAAGGCGUUGGUUAACGGGUUAGGGAAGGAGCGGAGUCAGGGCACGGUCGGCGGCGGGUUUGGGAUCGGGGGCAAAGGGAGCUAGGGGUGUCGGAGAGGGCGGAGGAGGUAGGGAGCAGGAGGGUAGUGGUGCAGGAGACGGUACCUCGGAGCGGUGGCGCACGAUGAGGAGGUGGUGUGACGGGAAGGUGGAGCGGUAGGAAGAGGAGAGACAGAUACGCCAGCAGCCACCGCGGACCAAGGUUUAGGCCGCGUCCAAUCGGCUCAGCCGGCUACCACUCCACUUCCUCGUCCUACGUCGGCGGGGUACCGGCCGGAGCUGCUCGUGCCGGAGCUAGGCCGGAGUCGGCCUCCUGGAGCUCGGAUCCUCACGCCGGAGCUAGCCCUGAGCCGUAGACCCCGCUGCUGCCUCCUCCUCCCCUUUCCUCCCCUCGUCGUCGGUCGUAGACCCCGCCGCCGCCGACCUGAGGUACUCGACCGGCUCCACGAAGUACAGUUCCUUCGUCGACUGUCAAGUUCGACUGGACGACCACAACGACGACACGACAUCUCCACCAUAACUUCAACACCGACAGUCAUCAGGAAAAUAACUACGAUUGAUGUACCGGAUAUACAAGUUCAUACUGAGGUGACUACCGGGGAAAUUUCCUAGGUAAUUCCAACACCUACUAAGUUAUAACCUCUAAUUACGCUUUUUUAGUGUUGGUGUUCGUUUUCAUUCUCCUUUACCCCGCAACAAUCCGCCCUGGAACGAUGACAACGGAACCCAAAACCGUAGCUUCGUGGUGGUACAUACCGAUCGGAAGGUACCGAUGUAACUCCCAGGGUUAGACGUCUUGUGACCGCGGCUCCUAGACGACGAGACAGAGCCCCGAGUCGCGGGAGAACCCGCGUCUCCAACCGCACGAGAGGGAGACGUGGUCCCAAGACUACCGGCGCGAAGCAGACCGUCGCGAUCUGUUGCCGUUCUUCCUUCUCGAGCCCGGUGGGCGCUGCGGUCCGGCGGCCGGGAGGAGGGAGCUCGCGUUCCGCCGCUUCUCUACCAACUCUACCACGACGUCGAGGCGUACAUGACCGAAGAUGUUGCAGAGAAUCUUAAACCAACGAUGAAGAACGACUAGUCCACGUUACAUAAUUAAGUUCAUCAUACAAUACAUGUUAAACAGUUCUCGUUAGCCUACAAUUAGACGAUACCCGUCGCCGCCAUGUACUUCCACGUUCCGUCGUCGCUGUACAAGUAUUAUAUGUUCGGACGAAUGUAGAGGGUUAUAGAGGAGGACCAGUUCCGUUAACGUGUACUACUUCUGCGAGUAAAAUCUAGUCAAGUACCGUAUACACAGAUAAACACAGAUAAAGGAAAUCUACUUCAUGCUGAUGGAAGCGUGUCAUGGGAACGUAAACACAAGAAUAGUUUAUUCAAAGAAAGACGUCUUAAACAAGUCCAAAACAGAGCGAGUGUGGAGUUCUACGCUCAGACCCUCACGCCACGACUGACAUCCUCGUUGACCACGAACACCCUGACCACGAACGUCAACAACGUCGACAAGAACUCCCGGCUCGACUUACAUAGACUCUUUCCAUAUAAAGGAAAUAGUGAGGGGGUCGUCUGUACU